GCCCAGGUGGCGGAAUUGGCAGACGCGCCAGCUUGAGGUGCUGGUCCCGGUAUCCGGGGUGGAGGUUCGAAUCCUCUCCUGGGCA
This 85-nucleotide transfer RNA is filed under the name Phycisphaeraceae bacterium. RNAcentral describes it as "tRNA-Leu". It matches the Rfam family "tRNA". From Rfam's summary of the family: Transfer RNA (tRNA) molecules are approximately 80 nucleotides in length. Their secondary structure includes four short double-helical elements and three loops (D, anti-codon, and T loops). Lineage: Bacteria; Pseudomonadati; Planctomycetota; Phycisphaerae; Phycisphaerales; Phycisphaeraceae. The record is from RNAcentral.